GAAUGCCUCCGACUAUCCCGAGCCAUAGCGAAAGCACGUUAGUGCGUGUAGGGCUUCGCAGAGGACACGUAAAUACUGCCGCAGCGUGUGAUGCGUAGUGAUCCGCUAGACACGGAGGUAGCAAGUCAGUGUCUGUCGCGUGACUGACGCUCAUGUGCGUCAGUCACUGGAGCAGAACGCGAUUAGAUCCUCCGGUAGUCCUGGGGGUAUACGAUGAUCACCACGGUGCGGGAGGUAUCGACGCGUUCCUUUCCAAAGGAAACGCAUAAAGUGGUCCGCUAGGGGAGUGCAGUCGCAAGAUUAAAACUCAAAGGAAUUGACGCAGACCCGCACAAGCAGCGGAGCGUGUGGUAUAAUUGGAUGAGACUCGAAGAACCUUACCAGGGUUUGACAUGCAGGUGCACCAUCCAGAGAUGGAUGUCCCUUCGGGGCGCCUGCACAGUUGCUGCAUAGCUGUCGUCACCUUGUGCAGUGAGUUGUUGGGUUAAGUCCCGCAACGAGUGCAACUCCUGUCGUCGGUUAGGAUGUCCGGCGAGAUGCCCACGCUAAACGUGGAGGAAGGUGGGGAUGACGUCAAGUCAGCUCGUCCCUUACGUCCUGGGCGACACACUCGCUACAAUGGGCGAGACAACCGGUCGCGAACCCGCGAGGGGGAGCUAAUCCUAACAAACUCUCUCUCAGUUAGGAUUGCAGGCUGCAACCCGCCUGCAUGAAACCGGAGUUGCUAGUAACCGUGGGUCAGCACACCACGGUGAAUACGUUCCCGGGUCAGGUACACCCCGCCCGUCACACCACGAAAGUCGGCAACACCGGAAGCCGCUGGGCUAACUCUUGUUCUUCGGAGGAAGAGGGCCAGGCGUCGAGGGUGGGCUUGGUCCAGGGGCGAAGUCGAACAAGGUAACCA
This 904-nucleotide ribosomal RNA is filed under the name uncultured soil bacterium. Its description in RNAcentral is "SSU rRNA". It matches the Rfam family "Bacterial small subunit ribosomal RNA", at positions 597 to 1502 of the family's 1533-position model. The record is from RNAcentral.